CAGCAGCCGCGGGAAUACGUAGGGGGCAAGCGUUAUCCGGAAUUAUUGGGCGUAAAGAGUACGUAGGUGGCUAUAUAAGCGCAUGGUGAAAGGCAGAGGCUUAACCACUGUUAGCCUUGCGAACUGUAUAGCUUGAGUGCAGGAGAGGGAAGCGGAAUUCCUAGUGUAGCGGUGAAAUGCGUAGAUAUUAGGAGGAACACCAGUGGCGAAGGCGGCUUUCUGGACUGUAACCGACACUGAGGUACGAAGGCGUGGGGAGCAAACAGGAUUAGAUACCCCCGUAGUCCCUGUCUCUUAUACA
This 301-nucleotide ribosomal RNA is filed under the name uncultured bacterium. RNAcentral describes it as "partial 16S ribosomal RNA". It matches the Rfam family "Bacterial small subunit ribosomal RNA", at positions 509 to 808 of the family's 1533-position model. The record is from RNAcentral.